This 622-nucleotide ribosomal RNA is filed under the name uncultured organism. RNAcentral's name for it is "bacterial SSU rRNA". It matches the Rfam family "Bacterial small subunit ribosomal RNA", at positions 203 to 847 of the family's 1533-position model. The record is from RNAcentral.
AAGGCUCCGGCGCUCUGGGAGGGGCUUGCGGCCCAUCAGCUAGUUGGUAGGGUAAAGGCCUACCAAGGCGAAGACGGGUAGGGGGUGUGAGAGCACGACCCCCCACAAUGGGACUGAAACACGGNCCAUACUCCUACGGGAGGCAGCAGCAGGGAAUAUUGCACAAUGGGCGAAAGCCUGAUGCAGCGACGCCGCGUGAGUGAAGAAGGCCUUCGGGUCGUAAAGCUCUUUUGUAGGGGAAGAGGAAGGACGGUACCCUGAGAAAAAGCGUCGGCUAACUACGUGCCAGCAGCCGCGGUAAGACGUAGGACGCGAGCGUUAUCCGGAAUUACUGGGCGUAAAGGGCCAGCAGGCGGCUAGGUAAGUUGUGCGUGAAAGCCUCGUGCUCAACGCGAGGAAGCCGGACAAUACUGUCUAGCUGGAGGGCAUCAGAGGGGAGUGGAAUUCCCGGAGUAGCGGUAAAAUGCGCAGAUAUCGGGAGGAACACCAAUGGCGAAGGCAACUCCCUGGGGUGUACCUGACGCUAAGUGGCGAAAGCUAGGGGAGCGAACAGGAUUAGAGACCCUGGUAGUCCUAGCUGUAAACGCUGGGUGCUACGUGUGGGGCGUAGAAGCUCUGUGCC